UGGGGGAUAUUGCACAAUGGGCGAAAGCCUGAUGCAGCGACGCCGCGUGGGGGAUGAAGGCCUUCGGGUUGUAAACUUCUUUUGCUCUGAACAAGGCAUGCCUUUGGGGUGUGUUGAGUGUAGGGGUUGAUUAGCGCCGGCUAACUACGUGCCAGCAGCCGCGGUAAUACGUAGGGCGCGAGCGCUGUCCGGAAUUAUUGGGCGUAAAGGGCUUGUAGGUGGCUGGUUGCGUCUGUCGUGAAAGCUCAUGGCUUAACUGUAGGUUUGCGGUAGGUACGGGCUGGCUUGAGUGGAGUAGGGGAGGCUGGAAUUCCUGGUGUAGCGGUGGAAUGCGCAGAUAUCAGGAGGAAUACCGGUGGCGAAGGCGGGUCUCUGGGCUGUUACUGACGCUGAGGGGCGAAGGCGUGGGGAGCGAACAGG
This 420-nucleotide ribosomal RNA is filed under the name Fusobacteriota bacterium. RNAcentral describes it as "Fusobacteria bacterium partial 16S ribosomal RNA". It matches the Rfam family "Bacterial small subunit ribosomal RNA", at positions 355 to 776 of the family's 1533-position model. Lineage: Bacteria; Fusobacteriati; Fusobacteriota. The record is from RNAcentral.